GGAGCUAGCACAGGUGCUGCAUGGCUGUCGUCAGCUCGUGUCGUGAGAUGUCGGUUAAGUCCGCUAACGAGCGCAACCCUCGCUGUGUGUUACAAGUGUCACACAGGACCGCCGGUCUUAAGCCGGAGGAAGGUGGGGAUGACGUCAAGUCAGCAUGGCCUUUAUGUCCAGGGCUACACACACGCUACAAUGGUCAGCACAAUAGGUAGCCAAGCCGCGAGGUGGAGCCAAUCCUCAAAGCUGGCCUCAGUUCAGAUCGCAGGCUGCAACCCGCCUGCGUGAAGCCGGAGUUGCUAGUAACCGCAGGUCAGCUAUACUGCGGUGAAUACGUUCCCGGGGCUU
RNAcentral lists this ribosomal RNA (342 nucleotides) under uncultured Fastidiosipila sp. RNAcentral's name for it is "bacterial SSU rRNA". It matches the Rfam family "Bacterial small subunit ribosomal RNA", at positions 1025 to 1382 of the family's 1533-position model. Lineage: Bacteria; Bacillati; Bacillota; Clostridia; Eubacteriales; Oscillospiraceae. The record is from RNAcentral.